RNAcentral lists this ribosomal RNA (446 nucleotides) under uncultured bacterium. RNAcentral's name for it is "partial 16S ribosomal RNA". It matches the Rfam family "Bacterial small subunit ribosomal RNA", at positions 338 to 795 of the family's 1533-position model. The record is from RNAcentral.
CCUACGGGGAGCAGCAGUCGAGAAUCAUUCACAAUGGGGGAAACCCUGAUGGUGCGACGCCGCGUGGGGGAAUGAAGGUCUUCGGAUUGUAAACCCCUGUCAUGUGGGAGCAAAUUAAAAAGAUAGUACCACAAGAGGAAGAGACGGCUAACUCUGUGCCAGCAGCCGCGGUAAUACAGAGGUCUAAAGCGUUGUUCGGAAUCACGGGGCGUAAAGCGUGCGUAGGCUGUUUCGUAAGUCGUGUGUGAAAGGCGCGGGCUCAACCCGCGGACGGCACAUGAUACUGCGAGACUAGAGUAAGGGAGGGGGAACCGGAAUUCUCGGUAUAGCAGUGAAAUGCGUAGAUAUCGAGAGGAACACUCGUGGCGAAGGCGGGUUCCUGGACAUUAACUGACGCUGAGGCACGAAGGCCAGGGGAGCGAAAGGGAUUAGAUACCCGGGUAGUC